GACGAACGCUGGCGGCGUGCUUAACACAUGCAAGUCGAACGGAAAGGCCCCUUUGGGGGUACUCGAGUGGCGAACGGGUGAGUAACACGUGAGUAACCUGCCCUUGACUUCGGGAUAACUUCAGGAAACUGGGGCUAAUACCGGAUAGGAAUCCUUGCUGCAUGGUGGGGGUUGGAAAGCUUCGGCGGUUUUGGAUGGACUCGCGGCUUAUCAGCUUGUUGGUGGGGUAGUGGCUUACCAAGGCUUUGACGGGUAGCCGGCCUGAGAGGGCGACCGGCCACAUAGGGACUGAGGUACGGCCCAGACACCUACGGGAGGCAGCAGUGGGGAAUAUUGCACAAUGGGCGGAAGCCUGAUGCAGCAACGCCGCGUGCGGGAUGACGGCCUUCGGGUUGUAAACCGCUUUCAGCAGGGGCGAAGCUUGUGGUGACGGUACCUGCAGAAGAAGCACCGGCUAACUACGUG
This 465-nucleotide ribosomal RNA is filed under the name uncultured bacterium. Its description in RNAcentral is "partial 16S ribosomal RNA". It matches the Rfam family "Bacterial small subunit ribosomal RNA", at positions 28 to 507 of the family's 1533-position model. The record is from RNAcentral.